AGUUGUGGACCACUGUCCAGAGUUGGAGGACUUGCUGAACAUGCGCCCAUUUCUCUCCAUCAUGCAUGCAAAAGCGCAUUCAUGGAUGUGUGAGUUAAAAUGGGGUGGACGCAAUCAAGAAGGAGCUGGAACAACAAUCGGGGAGGAGGUUGAACAGGUUAACAGCUUCCUCUCCCGAGCAGCCAUAUGUUCCAAGUACAUGUCAAAAGCCGACUGUACAAAGGAUCACAGAGGCAUCAAAGGACCUGGAGAAACUCACCACUGAGUUAUCUCUACAGCAAGACACAGU
This is a long non-coding RNA of Etheostoma spectabile (orangethroat darter), 289 nucleotides long. RefSeq lists it as uncharacterized. The record is from RefSeq and is a predicted model, not a curated record. The transcript has 3 exons. Lineage: Eukaryota; Metazoa; Chordata; Actinopteri; Perciformes; Percidae.